CCUACGGGAUGCACCAGUGGGGAAUAUUGCACAAUGGGCGCAAGCCUGAUGCAGCGACGCCGCGUGAGGGAUGACGGCCUUCGGGUUGUAAACCUCUUUCGCCAGGGACGAAGCGCAAGUGACGGUACCUGGGUAAGAAGCAACGGCUAACUACGUGCCAGCAGCCGCGGUAAUACGUAGGGUGCGAGCGUUGUCCGGAUUUAUUGGGCGUAAAGAGCUCGUAGGCGGUUUGUCGCGUCGGCCGUGGAAUCUCCACGCUUAACGUGGAGCGUGCGGUCGAUACGGGCAGACUUGAGUUCGGUAGGGGAGACUGGAAUUCCUGGUGUAGCGGUGAAAUGCGCAGAUAUCAGGAGGAUCACCGGUGGCGAAGGCGGGUCUCUGGGCCGAUACUGACGCUGAGGAGCGAAAGCGUGAGGAGCGAACAGGAUUAGAUACCCUCGUAGUC
Molecule: ribosomal RNA, 445 nt
Filed under: uncultured bacterium
Lineage: Bacteria
Description: bacterial SSU rRNA
Rfam family: Bacterial small subunit ribosomal RNA
Source: RNAcentral